AUUGAACGCUGGCGGCAGGCCUAACACAUGCAAGUCGAGCGGAUGAAGGGAGCUUGCUCCUGGAUUCAGCGGCGGACGGGUGAGUAAUGCCUAGGAAUCUGCCUGGUAGUGGGGGAUAACGUCCGGAAACGGGCGCUAAUACCGCAUACGUCCUGAGGGAGAAAGUGGGGGAUCUUCGGACCUCACGCUAUCAGAUGAGCCUGGUCGGAUUAGCUAGUUGGUGGGGUAAAGGCCUACCAAGGCGACGAUCCGUAACUGGUCUGAGAGGAUGAUCAGUCACACUGGAACUGAGACACGGUCCAGACUCCUACGGGAGGCAGCAGUGGGGAAUAUUGGACAAUGGGCGAAAGCCUGAUCCAGCCAUGCCGCGUGUGUGAAGAAGGUCUUCGGAUUGUAAAGCACUUUAAGUUGGGAGGAAGGGCAGUAAGUUAAUACCUUGCUGUUUUGACGUUACCAACAGAAUAAGCACCGGCUAACAUCGUG
Molecule: ribosomal RNA, 483 nt
Filed under: uncultured bacterium
Lineage: Bacteria
Description: partial 16S ribosomal RNA
Rfam family: Bacterial small subunit ribosomal RNA
Source: RNAcentral